Molecule: unclassified non-coding RNA, 520 nt
Filed under: uncultured Glomus
Lineage: Eukaryota; Fungi; Glomeromycota; Glomeromycetes; Glomerales; Glomeraceae
Also listed under: 1 other name
Description: SSU rRNA
Rfam family: Eukaryotic small subunit ribosomal RNA
Source: RNAcentral
AGCAGCCGCGGUAAUUCCAGCUCCAAUAGCGUAUAUUAAAGUUGUUGCAGUUAAAAAGCUCGUAGUUGAAUUUCGGGAUCAGUUGGUCGGUCGUGCCUCGGUACGUACUGGUCAAAUUGAUUCCUACCUUCUGACGAACCACGAUGUCAUUAAUUUGGUGUCGUGGGAAAUCAGGACUGUUACUUUGAAAAAAUUAGAGUGUUUAAAGCAGGCUCGCGCUUGAAUACAUUAGCAUGGAAUAAUGAAAUAGGACGUUUGAUUCUAUUUUGUUGGUUUCUAGGAUCGACGUAAUGAUUAAUAGGGAUAGUUGGGGGCAUUAGUAUUCAAUUGUCAGAGGUGAAAUUCUUGGAUUUAUUGAAGACUAACUACUGCGAAAGCAUUUGCCAAGGAUGUUUUCAUUAAUCAAGAACGAAAGUUAGGGGAUCGAAGACGAUCAGAUACCGUCGUAGUCUUAACCAUAAACUAUGCCGACUAGGGAUCGGAUGAUGUUAAUUUUUUAAUGACUCAUUCGGCGCCUUAC